AAUUCAUCAACCCACCGGUUUGGGGCAACCUGAGCGCGGAGGUUGGAUAUGGGUCCUGUUUGCGCCUGGCGCAAUGGCCUGAAAUGGAAUGUCAUGGAAUCAUUGGACGCCCGUCCGGUUUCAAGCGCAUGAAAGAGAUUUUCUCUGAAGUACGUCUUGAGGUGCCGUUCUUGGGAUCAGAGCCUCUGGUGCUGUAGACUCAACUAUCAUCCAGCGGGGGUCCUCAACGGGAUCCCCCUGAAC
This 243-nucleotide unclassified non-coding RNA is filed under the name uncultured Rhizophlyctis. RNAcentral's name for it is "sequence contains ITS2". The record is from RNAcentral. Lineage: Eukaryota; Fungi; Chytridiomycota; Chytridiomycetes; Spizellomycetales; Spizellomycetaceae.